CGGGAGGGGCUAGCGUUGUUCGGAAUUACUGGGCGUAAAGCGCACGUAGGCGGCUUUGUAAGUUAGAGGUGAAAGCCCGGGGCUCAACUCCGGAAUUGCCUUUAAGACUGCAUCGCUAGAAUCGUGGAGAGGUGAGUGGAAUUCCGAGUGUAGAGGUGAAAUUCGUAGAUAUUCGGAAGAACACCAGUGGCGAAGGCGACUCACUGGACACGUAUUGACGCUGAGGUGCGAAAGCGGUGGGGAGACAAAUAGGAUUAGAUACCCUGGUAGUCCACGCUGUAAACGAUGAUGACUAGCUGUCUGGGCGCUUAGCGUUCAGGUGGCGCAGCUAACGCGUUAAGUCAUCCGCCUGGGGAGUACGGCCGCAAGGUUA
Molecule: ribosomal RNA, 373 nt
Filed under: uncultured organism
Description: bacterial SSU rRNA
Rfam family: Bacterial small subunit ribosomal RNA
Source: RNAcentral